RNAcentral lists this ribosomal RNA (243 nucleotides) under uncultured bacterium. RNAcentral's name for it is "partial 16S ribosomal RNA". The record is from RNAcentral.
CUGCUGCCUUCCGUAGGAGUCUGGGCCGUGUCUCAGUCCCAAUGUGGCCGUUCAACCUCUCAGUCCGGCUACUGAUCGUCGCUUUGGUGGGCCGUUACCCCGCCAACUGGCUAAUCAGACGCGAGCUCAUCUUUGGACGAUAAAUCUUUGGCAGCAAAAUCAUGCGACCCCGCUGCAUCAUGCGGUAUUAGCAGUCGUUUCCGGCUGUUAUCCCCCACCCAAAGGCAGAUUGCUCACGCGUUA